CACGGGGGGAGCAAGCGUUGUCCGGAUUUAUUGGGCGUAAAGAGCUCGUAGGCGGUUCGGCAAGUCAGCUGUGAAAUCUCCACGCUCAACGUGGAGGGGUCAGCUGAUACUGCUGUGACUCGAGUCCGGUAGGGGAGUGUGGAAUUCCCGGUGUAGCGGUGAAAUGCGCAGAUAUCGGGAGGAACACCAGUAGCGAAGGCGGCACUCUGGACCGGUACUGACGCUGAGGAGCGAAAGCGUGGGGAGCAAACAGG
RNAcentral lists this ribosomal RNA (254 nucleotides) under uncultured bacterium. RNAcentral's name for it is "partial 16S ribosomal RNA". It matches the Rfam family "Bacterial small subunit ribosomal RNA", at positions 524 to 776 of the family's 1533-position model. The record is from RNAcentral.